CCUACGGGGGGCAGCAGUGAGGAAUAUUGGUCAAUGGACGCAAGUCUGAACCAGCCAUGCCGCGUGCAGGAAGACGGCUCUAUGAGUUGUAAACUGCUUUUGUACGAGGGUAAACGCAGAUACGCGUAUCUGUCUGAAAGUAUCGUACGAAUAAGGAUCGGCUAACUCCGUGCCAGCCGCCGCGGUAAUACGGAGGAUUCAAGCGUUAUCCGGAUUUAUUGGGUUUAAAGGGUGCGUAGGCGGUCUGAUAAGUUAGGUGUGAAAUCCCGAGGCUCAACUUCGGAAUUGCAUCUGAUACUGGUAGUCUUGAGAGUAGUAGCGGUAGGCGGAAUGUAUGGUGUAGCGGUGAAAUGCUUAGAGAUCAUACAGAACUCCGAUUGCGAAGGCAGCUUACCAGGCUACUUCUGACGGUGAUGCACGAAAGCGUGGGGAGCAAACAGGAUUAGAUACCCGAGUAGUC
Molecule: ribosomal RNA, 460 nt
Filed under: uncultured bacterium
Lineage: Bacteria
Description: partial 16S ribosomal RNA
Rfam family: Bacterial small subunit ribosomal RNA
Source: RNAcentral